UACGUAGGGUGCGAGCGUUAAUCGGAAUUACUGGGCGUAAAGUGUGCGCAGGUGGCCGCGCAAGUCGAGUGUGAAAUCCCCGAGCUUAACUUGGGAAUUGCGCUCGAAACUACGUGGCUCGAGUGUGGCAGAGGAAGGUGGAAUUCCACGUGUAGCGGUGAAAUGCGUAGAUAUCUGGAGGAACACCGGUGGCGAAGGCGGCAUCCUGGACCAUUACUGACACUGAAAAGCGAAAGCCAGGGGAGCAAACGGG
RNAcentral lists this ribosomal RNA (253 nucleotides) under uncultured bacterium. RNAcentral describes it as "partial 16S ribosomal RNA". It matches the Rfam family "Bacterial small subunit ribosomal RNA", at positions 524 to 776 of the family's 1533-position model. The record is from RNAcentral.